Molecule: ribosomal RNA, 468 nt
Filed under: uncultured bacterium
Lineage: Bacteria
Description: partial 16S ribosomal RNA
Rfam family: Bacterial small subunit ribosomal RNA
Source: RNAcentral
GACGAACGCUGGCGGCGUGCUUAACACAUGCAAGUCGAACGGAAAGGCCCUGCUUUUGUGGGGUGCUCGAGUGGCGAACGGGUGAGUAACACGUGAGUAACCUGCCCUUGACUUUGGGAUAACUUCAGGAAACUGGGGCUAAUACCGUAUAGGAGCUCCUGCUGCAUGGUGGGGGUUGGAAAGUUUCGGCGGUUGGGGAUGGACUCGCGGCUGAUCAGCUUGUUGGUGGGGUAGUGGCUUACCAAGGCUUUGACGGGUAGCCGGCCUGAGAGGGUGACCGGGCACAUUGGGACUGAGAUACGGCCCAGACUCCUACGGGAGGCAGCAGUGGGGAAUAUUGCACAAUGGGCGGAAGCCUGAUGCAGCAACGCCGCGUGCGGGAUGACGGCCCUCGGGUUGUAAACCGCUUUCGCCUGUGACGAAGCGUGAGUGACGGUAAUGGGUAAAGAAGCACCGGCUAACUACGUG